RNAcentral lists this ribosomal RNA (408 nucleotides) under uncultured microorganism. RNAcentral describes it as "bacterial SSU rRNA". It matches the Rfam family "Bacterial small subunit ribosomal RNA", at positions 9 to 396 of the family's 1533-position model. The record is from RNAcentral.
GAGUUUGAUCCUGGCUCAGAACGAACGUUGGCGGCGUGCUUAACACAUGCAAGUCGAACGAGAACGGUUUCGUUCGGAGACCUAGUAAAGUGGCGCACGGGUGAGUAACACGUAGAUAACCCUGUCCAGGUGUUCGGGAUAGCCCUUCGAAAGGGGGGAUUAACUACCGGAUACGUUAGUCUGUUAUAAGGCAGAUUAAGAAAGGUGGCCUCUAUUUAUAAGCUAUCGCAUUUGGAGGGUCUGCGUACCAUUAGUUUGUUGGUGGGGUAAAGGCCUACCAAGACUUCGAUGGUUAGCGGGUCUGAGAGGAUGAUCCGUCACACUGGCACUGAAAACACGGGCCAGACUCCUACGGGAGGCAGCAGUGAGGAAUAUUGCGCAAUGGGGGAAACCCCUGACGCAGCGACG